GUCACAUGUCCCCAGUCUAGGUUGCCCAUCCGCGUCCGAGUCAUCUUCCUCCCCAGUUUUUACUUCUUGAUUUAUUGUUUUUCUGAACAUAUGUGUGCAGAUCUAAGAAAAAAGAGAAGGGGAUGAAUCUGGAGGAAGAGCUUGGUGAAGAACAAGGUGAUCUCUCUCUCUCCAUCUCUCUGAAUUUAAGUCCACUUUCAUCUUUUUCAUUGCUACUAUUUCUCGUGGGAUAUUCAGGAGUUGAGAACACAUAUUUUGUAGGUGUUCGUAAUGGCAACAGUGGUAAUCAACAAUGAGAAAAAAGGACCGAGAUUGGAUUUGUACUAGGUAUGUUCCUCGUCUCUCUCAGUCCUUGUUCCAAUCCCCACCCUGAUGUAACUGUUUCUUCACAACUGUUGGAUGUGUCUUAGGAGAUGAAUGUCAUGGAUUGUUUAGAUUCUUGUUGAGCUAACCACUACUUAAACUAUUUGUCCCCUUGUUAAAGCUAAUCAUAGUAAUAGUUGGUGAUCGUCCGGCUGCUGUGUAUAGUGGCAACCAAAUUCAUGAUGAUGAGCUGAAUCAAACCCGUAGUAAAGUUAGUGUUAAAUCACACAUGUGUAUAGUCAAGUUCAGUACACUCAGGCAGUUUUGUCAGGUUGUAGAUUUAGUAUGACAAGAAAAUUACUUGAAAGAAAUAGGUACAGCCACUAUGAUAAAUAUCAGUAGUAUGCAUUGUAUAUGUAUGCUCAGUCAUGUUCAACUCAGUAUUUUUACCCUAUGUGUUACAGCAGGUGAUGCCUUAAUUUAGUUCAUGGCAUUAUGGCGGGACGCAUGUGGUAAUUGGUUACAAUGGUGGCUCAUGGAGUUAAAAUUUUGUGUUCUGUACAGAUUUGAGAUGAUAGAAAUUCAAAAUAGGUAAACCAAUAAGCCAUGUUUUUCUUUGGUGUUGCAGUUGUCAUGUGUCACAUAGUUAUAUAUGUGUGUUCAUAAUUAUAACUGCACUUUGUCUCUCUCUUUGCAAGUGUGAUACAUGCAUGUUCAUAAUUAUAUUUUAGUCCUAAUUUUCAGAUCAUGACCACAUCUUGUGGAGUUUCAAAAUCUAAUAUCUCUAAUUUCCGCAUCAAGCUAAGUG
RNAcentral lists this long non-coding RNA (1111 nucleotides) under Triticum aestivum (bread wheat). RNAcentral describes it as "long non-coding RNA (TAES_LNC010912)". Lineage: Eukaryota; Viridiplantae; Streptophyta; Magnoliopsida; Poales; Poaceae. The record is from RNAcentral.